AAUAUUUGACAAUGGGGGCAACCCUUAUCCAGCCAUGCCGCGUGUGUGAAGAAGGUCUUCGGAUUGUAAAGCACUUUAAGUUGGGAGGAAGGGCUUUAGGCUAAUACCCUGAAGUUUUGACGUUACCAACAGAAUAAGCACCGGCUAACUCUGUUCCAGUAGCCGCGGUAAUACAGAGGGUGCAAGCGUUAAUCGGAAUUACUGGGAGUAAAGCGCGCGUAGGUGGUUCAGUAAGAUGGGUGUGAAAUCCCCGGGCUUAACAUGGGAACUGCUUUCAUAACUGCUGAACUAGAGUACGGUAGAGGGUAGUGGAAUUUCCUGUGUAGCGGUGAAAUGAGUAGAUAUAGGAAGGAACAACAGUGGCGAAGGAGACUACCUGGACUGAUACUGACACUGAGGUGCGAAAGCGUGGGGAGCAAACA
This 422-nucleotide ribosomal RNA is filed under the name uncultured bacterium. RNAcentral describes it as "partial 16S ribosomal RNA". It matches the Rfam family "Bacterial small subunit ribosomal RNA", at positions 360 to 774 of the family's 1533-position model. The record is from RNAcentral.